Myotis brandtii (Brandt's bat) is the source of this 2686-nucleotide long non-coding RNA. RefSeq lists it as uncharacterized. The record is from RefSeq and is a predicted model, not a curated record. The transcript has 3 exons. NCBI's taxonomy places the organism in Eukaryota, Metazoa, Chordata, Mammalia, Chiroptera, Vespertilionidae.
CCGGGGCCAGGGCCAGAGCCCCGGCCCUGACGAGAAAUACAACUCAGAUGCCGAGACAGGGUCGACCACAGGCUAAAUAAAGGACCCCCCGUCGGAAAGGACGAAAGGGUUUUAAAAAAUCCGGGAAAUUGGCUCCCCAACGGGGCUGGCAAAUGCCAUCAACUGUUCCUUCCAUUCCCCAGCGUCUCCACCAACAGGUACGUCCCUAAGACAAGCCUCAAAAAAAGCCGCAGCCCAACUCCGACUUACUCUGCAGGACGCAGCCCAGCCCGCCUGCUGGAGGCACCGGCCACCCCAGGAAGGGGCCUCGGGGCUGGGGGCUGGGGGCUGGGGGCUGGGAACAGGAAAGGAAUCCAGAACUUAGAGAUGCAGCAGCAAACACUUAAAAAACGAGGAGGAGGGGGGAGAGGAGCCCUCGGAGCUGAUUACAACACCGUAAUGUGAGCAAAUUCACAAAAUAAACAGUCACCAGCGUUUGCCAAUGAUUGCGGCUGUAAAGGUGCUCUGCCCUCCUGGGUGGCGAUAGGGACCGAUAUAGGGUGCCCUUUAUCUUGGCAAGAUACAUUUUUUUAAAGUUUAUGGCUACUCUUUGUAGUUACCUGUUGAUUAUUAUUAUUUUUUUUUUAGUUUGGAUUUUAAAGUACCUUUAGACCAUGCCAAAUAUUUAACCAGCUGUUUUUUCAUAAAAGUCUCAAAAUGACUUUAUGGAAGGCUGUACAUACAACACCCAGACAGUCAAUGUCCGCCCUGCGACACUGUGAAGAUAGCACAAUCUAACCCUGCCCACACCCCACAACGCUGAGUUUCAACCCAAGGCUAGCUCGGCCCACGCUGCAGAACAAGAUAAAAACUGGUAACUCAUUAAGACACGGCCGGUCCUUUGACCAAGGUCAUGUGCCGUCUCAAAAGGCAGAGAUAAAGACCAAAAUUUAAAUUAAAAUCUAAUGAAGGGGAUCGUGUUCCCCGACAGAAUUUUUCGGGAGCGGGCAGGUCACUGGGUCAGGCUGCUCCUCGAGGCGGAGGCAACUUGUUUGUUUUGACCUCCGAUCUCCCAAACCGUCGGCUCCACCAUGGGAAUACGCCGCGUGGCCAAAGCCCGGAGCCCGACAGACCAGCCCAUCUGUGCUGUGAGAACGGGCCACUUCAGUCUACAGCGGAGUUUAUAUAGAAGCGGCGAUGUGAAAACUGCUAUGCGUGCUGCUGCUUUAAAAAAAAAAACAACACACACACAAAAAAACACAAUCCUGCUGAGAAGUAGCGGGUGCCGUGGAGAAUGCUGAGAUUCUGCCUGAUUUACAAAAAUAAAAAAAUAAAAAGUCUAUGGAAUUUUUCACUGAUUUGGGGAAGAGGUCUAUUUUACUGAUUUCACCCAAGUUAAGAACUACGAUGGUCACUGACCAUCCGGCUCUGCAAGUUAUACGCCGGGUAAGGUGGUAGCCACAUACAUUAAAACCACGAGGCGAACCUCAUCUCGGUGCAGAAUACUAAUUCAGAACGAAAACGCUCAUUUAUGGAAAUUAAUUGAUCUUAUGCUACUUGCCCCACCUCGUCCAAAAAGAAGAUGAUUUGAUACUCAGGAAAUGUGACUACCUAUCAUUCCGGGAUUUAGGGUUAAAAAUCUCUUUCACCUGCGUUAAUUACAGCGAAAAAAAGUCAAAUUAAAAGAGAUGAGCAGUGGGCAGCUAUUAAAAGUAUUAAGUGCUUUUAAAAAUGAUUAACACCCCCCCCCUCCAACCUCCAAAUGCCUCUCUCUACUCUUGCUCGCUUGGCUUUAAAGGGUACGACACCCUGUUUCUUUCCCUGACUUUUAUUUUGUCACCGGUGUUUCAUGGGGUGCUUGCUAAAUAUUUGGGUGGCACGCGCCUGCCGCCUGCAGCAGCGGGACGUGCCUGUCAUACCGCGGAAAUGUUUCCAUUCCCGCCGCUGCGUGCGCCCGUCUCCGCAGCCCACGUCCUCCAGGAUCGACUGCUGUCUGGUCUCAGAACAAAGCAGCCGCCGAUUUUUCCUCGUGUGGGCUGAGCUGCCCAGGCCCCCACGGCUCUGAAUUAGAAAAACAAAGAUGCACGCACACGAGAAUCUGCCUGUGAGCUGCAAGCUAGAACUUUCUGGACCAAGCGGGCCAUUUUGCAUAAAUCAAGACCCGGGCUGCCCUGAAACUCCCGGGGAAGCCGGCUGCGUCUGCAGGCCACGCUCCCUCAGCCCGCCCGAGGGCGGAGGUGAGCUCGCAGCUGCACUUUGCAAAACCCACCUUUUAAGGAAAAAGGUUCAGCCACUCCGAAGGGUCAGGGACCAACAAAGAAACUCAGGCAGCCCCGGCCCCAGCUCUCCACGAGCCCUGGCGGGCCCCGGGGACACGGAGGGAGGUCGGCACCAGCAGAGGAUUAGGACCACGCAGGGCCCCCCCCAGGGUCUGUCCGGCGGCGGACAAGCCCAUGUGCCCCCCGCAUGCAGGCGGUGGGCAGGGCGGCUGGGAGCCGGCCCAGCACUGUGAGUGCUUAAACGAGGGCUUAAAAAAUUAAAAGCCCCCAAACCUAACAGAUUCUCCCACACUGAGCUGAGAGUCCAAAACAGCUUUCUUUUCUUUCUUUUUUUCAAAAAAAAUAAAAUAAAACGAAAGGGAAAGAGAACUGGAUCCCCACGCUGUGGACACGGCGGCAUUAAAGAUGCCGGACCACAUAAAGGGCCU